Molecule: ribosomal RNA, 288 nt
Filed under: Acinetobacter baumannii
Lineage: Bacteria; Pseudomonadati; Pseudomonadota; Gammaproteobacteria; Moraxellales; Moraxellaceae
Description: partial 23S ribosomal RNA
Rfam family: Bacterial large subunit ribosomal RNA
Source: RNAcentral
AGCCUCUAAGCAUCAGGUAACAUCAAAUCGUACCCCAAACCGACACAUGUGGUCAGGUAGAGAAUACCAAGGCGCUUGAGAGAACUCGGGUGAAGGAACUAGGCAAAAUGGUGCCGUAACUUCGGGAGAAGGCACGCUGGUGUGUAGGUGAAGUCCCUGCGGAUGGAGCUGAGACCAGUCGAAGAUACCAGCUGGCUGCAACUGUUUAUUAAAAACAUAGCACUCUGCAAACACGAAAGUGGACGUAUACGGUGUGACGCCUGCCCGGUGCCGGAAGGUUAAUUGAUG